GGUUAGAGUGCGUUCGGGGUUGUUGCUGGUUCCUUUUCAGAAGGAGUAUGUGCACGCCUCGCAAUCCAUUUCAAACCACACUUGUGCACUUCAGAGGGGUUCUUCCCCUCUUUACUUAUAAACCACAUUAUAAAGUCUUUUUGUAAAAUUGGGUUGGAAAAUUAAUAUAUAAUACAACUUUCAACAACGGAUCUCUUGGCUCUCGCAUCGAUGAAGAACGCAGCGAAAUGCGAUAAGUAAUGUGAAUUGCAGAAUUCAGUGAAUCAUCGAAUCUUUGAACGCACCUUGCGCUCCUUGGUAUUCCGAGGAGCAUGCCUGUUUGAGUGUCGUGUAAUUCUCAAUCUUAACAUCUUGUUAUAGAUUGGAUUUGGGAGUUUGUUGUGCCUCUCUUUUUGUGAGGUUAGACUCUCCUUGAAUGUAUUAGCUCGGUCACGUAGUUUGCCUGACAGUUCACGGUGUGAUAGUCUCACUUCAUCGCCGUUCUAACUGUUGGUGCCUGUGUCUUUGCCGGCUUCUAAACCUCAUUAUUAUUACCUUUGACGCUUGACCUCAAAUCAGGUAGGAUUACCCGCUGAACUUAAGCAUAUCAAA
Molecule: ribosomal RNA, 591 nt
Filed under: Rigidoporus submicroporus
Lineage: Eukaryota; Fungi; Basidiomycota; Agaricomycetes; Polyporales; Meripilaceae
Description: eukaryotic LSU rRNA
Rfam family: 5.8S ribosomal RNA (bases 176-329)
Source: RNAcentral